Long non-coding RNA from Felis catus (domestic cat), 2051 nucleotides. RefSeq lists it as uncharacterized. Lineage: Eukaryota; Metazoa; Chordata; Mammalia; Carnivora; Felidae. The record is from RefSeq and is a predicted model, not a curated record. The transcript has 2 exons.
CCUGAGCUCAAAAGUGCAUACUCACCUAAUAGGGGUAUAGGAACCUAAACCUGGUGUGGGGAAUGCUGAACAGCCACUUGCUGGCGCAGCUUUAUUCACUCAACAUUUAUGGAGCCCUGAGUCUGACUUUGCCCCGGAUUAGGGUAGUCCCUAGCCUCGUAAAUGAGUGCAGGACCCAGUUCCAGGACAUGGUGGCGGGCUGGCAGAGAGGAGCCAGGAAAAACUUCCAUCCAUAUCUUGAAGUCAGACCCACACUCUCCGAGUCGGGGGUGAGAAUGUCCGUGCGGGGGGAGAGUUCGAUGCCCGGACCUGACGCCUCCGCCAAACCCACCUUCUGAGCGGUAGCCACCCCACCUCCUGGCCGCCUCCACCGAGCUGGCCUCGCGGUGGCGCUGCUACUCCUGGAAUGUUCUAGCUUACAGUCGGGCCAGCCCAGCAGCGUCCCAGCUGGAAGAUUUAAACAAGACAGUAAUUAAAUGGAACUAGGCAUAAAGCGAGACCGGCAGCCCCAUUAUAUGGCUUACAAAAGAGAGCUGACUCAUCUCAGCUUAGGACCCAGCACUGGGCGGCGUCCACUGGGCAGCUGUAGUUAUUAUGUAAACUACCCCCACCUCUGAGUGGAUCUUAAGGAGGAAUCAGGGGGUCUCACUCCUCACGUGGCGGUGCAUCAUUAAUCUUACAGGAUCAGAGUUUGAUUUUAUUUAUUUUUUUAAAGGUUUAUUUUUGAGAGAGAGAGAGAGAGAGAGAGAGAGAGAGAAUCCCAAGCAGGCCCCGCGCUGUCAGCAUAGAACCUGAUUGCCAGGCUUGAUCCCAUGAAUUGUGAGAUCAUGACCUGAGCCAAAAUCAGGUGUUGGAAGCUCAACUGACUGAGCCACCGAGGUGCCCCUGGCCUUCUGUGAAGACUUGUGCAGAAGCAGGGAGAAGGCCAUGUGAAGACAAAGGCUUCUACAAGCCAAGAAUUGCCAAAUCGUGUCAACAAACUGCCAGAAAACAGCGGCCUUGUUCAUAGAUUCUCUGUCACAGCCUCAGAGGGCACUAAAUCUGCCAAGACCUUGGUUUCGAACGCUGGCCUUCAGGCCGGUGAGACAACAGUUUCUGUCGUUUAAGCCACUGACUUUGUGGUACUCUGCUCUGGCAGACUACUACCGUGGGUUUGGAGCAGACAGACAGCAACUGGGCACCAUCCCCGACCCUCGCUUGGCCCAGGGGAGAGAAGGCUCGCCAUGCAAGGACCACUUGGGCUCAGACAGUGGGCGUCUCAAGCGCCCUCCGUGUGGAGAGAAGAUUCCCACCCCACGGAGAAGCUCUCCUCUCCAGCGGACAAAGGACCAAGGACAGAGACCACCACCAUCCUUCCAAGCGUGCCUGAGGUUGGAUAGCUUACCCUCUUGGCAAAGGGCGGCUCAUAAUCAAAUUUUAUUUGAUUUAGGAAAAAUACCGACGGUUCUCGUACCUGAGUGUUAUCGAAUAAACCCAUGCUUGAUAUGCCAGGGUUUUUUUCACUCCGCCAGUGGUCAUCUUUCAAACAAGCCAGUGAGAGAAAGACUCCUGGUGACCUUCAGCUUUCAGCCACCUGCUGCUGGUUGGGUGGCCACGAUGUCGGAGUGGCAGGUGCCCCAUGAGGGGCUGGUGAUGUGGAACCGAGCUAUUCCGGGCGCGUCAUUUUGCCUGUGGGUAUUUCAGCAACACAAGCUCCUCCAUCAGAAGGCAGAGCCAGGGCCUGGCUGGGGCUGUUUCUGGUUGCUAUGGAGAUGAGCCCCACCCCAGGUUCCCAGUCCAGACCUCCCUGCUCUGUCAAGUUCAGUCUCCCCAGACGCAGCUGUAAGGCCUAUUCCGAGCAGUUCCUGUUGUGGCAGUGUUUACCUAAGCCUCCCGCUGUCCGUUCCCACUUCUGUGCCUCCAAAGCCCUGGAAAGACAUGGGCGUCACCUCUGAAGGUGUCCCCACCCCGGCAAUGAGGAGCCAGGCCUGGAGGGACCCCUCUGAUGGGGGGGACUCAGGGAGAAGAGCGACCAAGAGAGGCUGUUGCAGACGUGGGCCCCUCCCUGCUAU